RNAcentral lists this ribosomal RNA (879 nucleotides) under uncultured bacterium. RNAcentral describes it as "bacterial SSU rRNA". It matches the Rfam family "Bacterial small subunit ribosomal RNA", at positions 9 to 873 of the family's 1533-position model. The record is from RNAcentral.
AGAGUUUGAUCCUGGCUCAGGAUGAACGCUGGCGGCGUGCCUAAUACAUGCAAGUCGAACGAGGUGCUUUUGUAGCAAUACGAGAGUAUCCUAGUGGCGAACGGGUGAGUAACGCGUUGGUGACCUACCCCAAAGUGUGGGAUAACAGUCCGAAAGGAUUGCUAAUACCGCAUGUGGUCAUUGGAUUUAGAAACUGAUGACUAAAGGAGCAAUUCGCUUUGGGAGGGACCUGCGUCCCAUCAGCUAGUUGGUGAGGUAAUGGCUCACCAAGGCUACGACGGGUAGGGGACCUGAGAGGGUGGCCCCCCACAAUGGAACUGAAACACGGUCCAUACACCUACGGGUGGCAGCAGUAGGGAAUAUUGCACAAUGGGCGAAAGCCUGAUGCAGCAACGCCGCGUGUGCGAUGAAGGCCUUCGGGUCGUAAAGCACUUUUCUGAGAGAUGAGAAAGGACAGUAUCUCAGGAAUAAGUCUCGGCUAACUACGUGCCAGCAGCCGCGGUAAAACGUAGGAGGCGAGCGUUAUCCGGAUUCACUGGGCGUAAAGCGCGUGCAGGUGGCUCGGUAAGUUGGGCGUGAAAUCUCCCGGCUCAACUGGGAGAGGUCGUUCAAUACUACCGAGCUUGAGAGCAGAAGAGGAAGAUGGAAUUCCCGGUGUAGUGGUGAAAUGCGUAGAUAUCGGGAGGAACACCAGUGGCGAAGGCGAUCUUCUGGUCUGUUUCUGACACUCAGACGCGACAGCUAGGGUAGUAAACGGGAUUAGAGACCCCGGUAAUCCUAGCCGUAAACGAUGUGAACUUGGCGUUGGUGGGUAAACUCAUCAGUGCGAGCAACGCGAUAGUCACGCUGGGACUACGCGCAGUAAACUCAAAGAUGACG